RNAcentral lists this ribosomal RNA (269 nucleotides) under uncultured prokaryote. Its description in RNAcentral is "partial 16S ribosomal RNA". It matches the Rfam family "Bacterial small subunit ribosomal RNA", at positions 524 to 792 of the family's 1533-position model. The record is from RNAcentral.
UACGUAGGUGGCGAGCGUUAUCCGGAAUUAUUGGGCGUAAAGAGCGCGCAGGUGGUUGAUUAAGUCUGAUGUGAAAGCCCACGGCUUAACCGUGGAGGGUCAUUGGAAACUGGUCGACUUGAGUGCAGAAGAGGAAAGUGGAAUUCCAUGUGUAGCGGUGAAAUGCGUAGAGAUAUGGAGGAACACCAGUGGCGAAGGCGGCUUCCUGGUCUGUAACUGACACUGAGGCGCGAAAGCGUGGGGAGCAAACAGGAUUAGAUACCCCGGUA